GAGAUAAUUUCCCAAAAAUCUCUCUCUUUCCCUCCCCCACUUUGCCCUUUCACUUUUCCCAUCUUUCUCUCACGUUGGUUUUCUUUUCCCCUUGCUUUCUUUCUUUCACUUGUUACAGUAAAGGAAAAAAAAUAUAACCUUUUGCUGAUUAUUCCAUGUUUUUUCAAAGAUUUUUUUAUUCGUUUGUGUUCCUCUUGAUUCAUCAUUGACACUUCUUUUACGUGGUGUUGUUUGCACGUUUGAGAAAGUUAGGUAAGGUCUCGUUUUGUUGUGAUAUAUCAUUGUUGAGAUUAGGAAGUAAGUUUUUAGUUUAAUUGUUUGGUACAGUUAGGAGGAGAUUGUGAAACGAGCGGAAAACGGAAAACUAAGGAUUUUGGAUCUGCCGCUAUGGUUUUGGGUUUUGGGAUCUUCGUGGUUGUAUCGACAUCGAAAAACGAAUAGGUGUGUAAUGAAAACCUCAAAAAAUAACGAACGACGUAAUGCCAAAAAGCUUAUUGUCGAUGUCACAUAGCCAUGUGUCAAGCCAUGUGGAUCACACUGGUUGGGUUGAUUGGGCUGUGUGGCCACACAGGCGUGUGGGCCAUUUUUCGUAAAAUUUUGUUAGGUUGUAUUUGAAGUGCAAUUCAAAAUUAGUUAUAUCAUUGGCUCCGAAAUGUGUUCUGUAUGUAUUAUGAAUACGAAAUCUGAUAUUCUACCUC
Long non-coding RNA from Gossypium arboreum, 698 nucleotides. RefSeq lists it as uncharacterized. The record is from RefSeq and is a predicted model, not a curated record. Lineage: Eukaryota; Viridiplantae; Streptophyta; Magnoliopsida; Malvales; Malvaceae. The transcript is spliced from 2 exons.